UGGGGAACUACUGCUCUAGGAGAUAUGACCAUUCUAGUCCAGUCAUCCUUAGCUUUCCAUGUGAUAAUCUUCACUAAAAAUAUGAUUACUGUAUUUGGAAGCACUCGAGGCAAUAGAUAUUUCACUAACAAAGCAUUUGCAGCUUGUACUUCAUGUGCCUCCUCAGGCCCUCCCUGGGCAAGGGGAUGUCAAAGAGGCCCAUGGGGUGGGUCGUCAAAACACAAGAGAAUAACUGGUCAAUUAACCAGAACUUUGUUCUGAAACAAAGGUCUCCCUUCCACCCCUAGUCCUUAAUUUCCCCUUGUGCUUUCUGUUGGGGUGCAGGCAUGUGGGUGUACCUUCACCCCCUGCUGUGACUGUCCAAAGUCCUGUGGGUGGUUUUUGUUGCUCCCCACCAUGUUCCUUAGUGCUCCUGCCCAUUCAAGUUCCUUUUUGGUACUCUUUGAGUUCUCACAGCCUCUUGAACUGCCAUUUGCACCACCCAUGCCAGAGUUGCAUUAGACUUGGAAGCUUCUGGCAAGUAUCACACUCCCGAAAUUGCAAUGGGUCCUUUGGGUGCUGGGUCCUAGGGAGCAACACUCUGGAUCAAUGCCAGCAUAGCAGUAAUAUGAGAGGACCACCAGGCACCAUGGUCCCUCAAGCCAUUCCAAAGCAUCACUCCAUAUGCCUUCCACCUUAUUUUUCUCAUGGUACUCCUCCCCCUCGGCUACGGACUCAUCUCCCUUUAUACCACCCUUUCCCCCCAUUUCCAAAGGUUCUCUUGCUUUCCUGCCUCCAGGUGCUUCUGGGUCCUGAAUGGCCACUGAUGGGGCACCGAAUGAGGGCUCAUCCCAACCUGGCUAGUGACCUGCUGAAGGAUGCCACACAUGCCCUUCCUUCCGAAGAGCACUCAAUAGUCCUGUGGAAGGCACCAAGGUCAACCCUUUCUCUGGGCUGAUGUCCAACCGCUUACUUACAUCCUGAAGGAAACUUAAGAACCCAAGUCCCGUUGUGUUCAUCGGAAUGGCUUUGGAGGAU
This 1017-nucleotide long non-coding RNA is filed under the name Pogona vitticeps (central bearded dragon). Its description in RNAcentral is "lncRNA (ENSPVIG00000017011.1)". The record is from RNAcentral. Lineage: Eukaryota; Metazoa; Chordata; Lepidosauria; Squamata; Agamidae.